CCCUCGGCUCCAUCCGUCGUCCAUGGCUUCCCCGAGCCAAAUCACCUCCGGCCCUCCUCCAAGGAACCGUGAGGAAGAAGAAGCUCCGUCCUCGGAGGCCACUGGCCGCAACUGCCUACGAGAUCAUGCGGUUCCUGAUCUGUCCCUGGCUCGUCGGAGAGUCAGAGAAUGAUGUCUAUUGGGUUUUGGAUUGGUGGCUCAAGAACCGAUGCGAUACCACCGGUCUCCGCUAACGCUCUUUUUGUUCACAGUUUCCGUAUGGCUAAAUAUAACUUGCUGAACAGUAAACGAUCAAUGCCCAAUACAUCCUUUCUGAUGACAGACAAAGGACGUUCCCGAUAAUCCUGCGAACCAGAUCCUUGAGAACAGGGCCAGUUUAGACCAUCAUCCUUUUGGUUAAGGGAAAGUGUUAAAAGAAAUGUGAAAGCACGGUUAUUUUUCCUCGGAUCCAUUCGCAAAAGCAAAGAGAAGAAAUGGAGGAUCUGAUAAAGGACGUGGAAGAGAAGUUCAGAUUCUCGGUUGCAGACUCGACGAUGAUGUUGCUUGUGCAACAAGCAAUGGACAGAGCCCACGAGAAGAUCAAAACAGGGCCGAGUGUUCUGCUCCGUCUCAACGCCAUAUCCGUGUUCUACGAGUUCGCCGUGAUGCAACUCGACAGCUGUCUCAGCUUCGUCCAACAAGAAGCCGACAAUUCGGUCCUCGAGAGUAACCACAAGGAAGAGCUUUACGACCUCAGAGAGAUCAGAGACAGGCUUAAUCGCCGUCUCUUAGAAACCGAACUGGCCAUUCUUGAGAAAGACAGAGCCUUUCUGGAGAUGUCCGAGAAUGAGCAGAAGCUGAAACAGGUUCUUGAGUGUAAAGAAACCGAGUUGGUUCAUUUGCAGGAGAAUCUUGAGAGAAAGAGGAGCGAGGAACUCGAAGAAUUCAUCAAUAGCAGCAAAGAGGUCGAAUUCUCCGAGUUGAAGAAUCUGGUAGAUCAGCAAGUGAUGCACAUCAGGCAAAAGGUCGAACCGGAAUACGGUUCGCUCGACGAAGAAGAAGAGAAAACGAAUCCCAGGAUCGAUAACAACAAGAUCGAGAAGAUGGGUAUAGAUAUCGACGUGUUGAAAGGCACAAUGGAUCUUGCUUUCAGCAAAAUGCACAAUGCCAUUUUCUUAUUUGAGUUGAGGCCGAUAGAGCAGACAUGGAGAUGGUCGAUAGAGAAAGAUACUGAGGCUAUACUGAUUAAGGGUUUCAUGGAGAAUUGCAAGAACGACUUCGAAGAGGAAAGAAAGAAGCUAGAGAGGGAAGCCUCUGUCGUAUUCAGAGACUUUAUAUCAGACUUCACUGUUCAGAUCUCUUCAAUACGUAGGGAGGUGGAGUGUUUCGCCAUUCAGAACGAGAGCACGAGUAGGUCUCCGAGAUCUGCAGCAAGAACUUCAUUAGAUGAUGAUUCUGAUAAUAAUAAUGGUAAUAAAGAUGAAGAAGAAGAAGAAGAAGAAGAAGAUGCAGAGGCUGAGGAAGAUGGAGGCAACUAUGUAGCAAAGUUGAUAAAGAACCAUGAAUCCAUCAUUAGGAAAAAAAGCGAAGAGCUCGUUCCACUGAAACCAGAGCUUAUUACUAAACGGCAGAAGAACAAUGAUAGCUCGAAGCGGGUUAUAGACGAUAUCAUCACGAGACUAGACACUUUACUACUUGCCUUCAGCACAAAACUGAAUCAAAAUCUGUGGGAUGAUGAUGAUGAUGAUAAAGCUAAGAUUUUGAUGAAUACUUAUUCAGAGAGAAAGGCAUCUGGAACUGACAAUGAUCAUGAAGUAGUAGUCAGAGAUAGUUUAGAUGAUGUCUGGCUGAAAAUGCACAGAGGAACUGUUUCAGAUGAAGCGACCGCCAUUAGAACUCCGUGUGAAGACAAGGAAGAUGCAGAGACAAUGGCGAUGAUCUUGGAAGAUACUUACUUGACACUUUUCAAAGGUCUCAUGAAUGGGUUUUGCACGGACUUGCAAGCUUAUGGCAUUUGGAAUCUAAUAGCAGAAGUUCUGCACGGAAAUAUUAUCGACGAAAUCAUAAACAACGGAGAAGAGGAGAUUGAGAGUGGAAAGAUCAAAUUUGAGAUGAGGGAAGAUAUAUGCAGACUGGUUUUAGACAAUGCCUCAAGAAAUUGUGCAGAUUGUUUAGAGAGCAGCUUAAAAGAAGAUGUGAAUGGAGUUGUUUUCAAGGAAAUGCUGAGGGAAUGGGACAGAGUUACUGAAAGUCGUUGCAGAGAUGAAGAACUCAGACAAGAGAUAGAUGGGAUUCUGACACAAGAGAUUCUGAAACAAGUUUCAGAAGAUGCAAAUAACCAUGUAAGCGAAAUACAUGAACGAUACGAAUCAAGAAGCGAAAGGAUGAUUGAGGAGGAAAGGAGCAGAGCCCGUGGUUUAGUUCAGUGUUGCAGAAAAAUGACGCAAGUCUCGGAGGAUUUCGGGUCUAAGGUUCAAGAAAAGUUAAGGAUGGUGACUUUCAGAUUACUGCUAUUCUGCAGGUUGAAAGAAUUAGAGAUGAAGACGAUCGAUUGCAUAGGUUCAUUAAGAGAGAAAGAAUCGGUUUACAGAAGGGCUUUCACUCUGAGGUGUGAGAAUCUCAGAAAGGCAGAAGCUGAGUUUGAUGCAAUGUAUAGGUUGAUCUACUGGGAGAUCAAGUGGAUUUGCUGGUGGGAAUGCUCCAGAAAACACUUUGGACGUUGCAACAACAUCCUCGGAUUCUCCAAGACAACCCAGAUAUAUCGGAGAUUUCGAGGAAGAUCAAGAAAGAGUUGUUGGGAGAUGUUUCCUGUCGAGGAUGAGCCCAGAGGAUUGUUCGAUGUUACGAGGCGCCGGCGGUGAGGGAGGGAAGCCAUAAAGGGCAAUUUCGGAAGCCUAUCAAAGGAUUGCUGAUGGGCCCUAAACCCCACCCAAAAUCAAUUAGUAACCUUGACAAAGGCCAACUGUAAGCCCAUUAAAGGCCCAAUGGAGAUCGGACAGAGGAGUAGGAACGUG
RNA transcript from Tarenaya hassleriana, 2993 nucleotides. It is a transcript of the gene named WPP domain-associated protein, with no coding region annotated. The transcript is spliced from 5 exons. The record is from RefSeq and is a predicted model, not a curated record. NCBI's taxonomy places the organism in Eukaryota, Viridiplantae, Streptophyta, Magnoliopsida, Brassicales, Cleomaceae.